UACACCCUUGCAGGUACAGCUGUCUAGGUGCAAAUCAUGGGACCAAAAUAAAGGAGUCUGUUGGCAAAGGACUAAUUCAGAUACUGUCUUGAUGCUUUGCGCCCAUCCUUAAAAUUGCCAGGGUUGGGAUGUUUGGGGAAACUUUAGAUACAGGAUGGGGUCAAAACUGUAUGGUCACUUUGUGAGUUACCAUGAAAAGAGUCCACUAAGGGUAUUUACUAGUCCCUGUGCAUUCAUGGCAAGGGCAAAGUAUUCAACUGUUCUCAUGGAAUGUGGGAGGAGCAAGAGAGUGUCGCAGUCUCCACCACUUUCUGCUUCUCACCCCAUCCUGCCCUAUCUUUAGACCCAUUUUUUCCCCACUGAUUUGUGCUAAGAGGAAAUCUCCAUUGGCUCAAGUGUUUAUAAAGCUCUGAAUAACAGCCUUACAAAUAAAUCCUUGUCUACUCUUGGAUAGCCGGGACUAAUUUCCUUUUCUUCCAAAAGAAGGAUGCUCCUGAUGAAGACUUAUAAAUACGUAAAACGAAGGAAGAUUUUCUUCCACUUUUCUGCACUCUGAGAGGGUUGCUCCAGGAUGGGAUUUAUAUGCUAGGGGUGACGAGUGUUCUGAGAGGGCUGGACCUACCAUGACAUAAAAGUGCCAUCUUCUUGGACUCGA
Neofelis nebulosa (Clouded leopard) is the source of this 655-nucleotide long non-coding RNA. RefSeq lists it as uncharacterized. The transcript is spliced from 2 exons. The record is from RefSeq and is a predicted model, not a curated record. NCBI's taxonomy places the organism in Eukaryota, Metazoa, Chordata, Mammalia, Carnivora, Felidae.